RNAcentral lists this ribosomal RNA (468 nucleotides) under uncultured bacterium. RNAcentral's name for it is "partial 16S ribosomal RNA". It matches the Rfam family "Bacterial small subunit ribosomal RNA", at positions 28 to 507 of the family's 1533-position model. The record is from RNAcentral.
GACGAACGCUGGCGGCGUGCUUAACACAUGCAAGUCGAACGGAAAGGCCCUGCUUUUGUUGGGUGCUCGAGUGGCGAACGGGUGAGUAACACGUGAGUAACCUGCCCUUGACUUUGGGAUAACUUCAGGAAACUGGGGCUAAUACCGGAUAGGAGCUCCUGAUGCAUGGUGGGGGUUGGAAAGUUUCGGCGGUUGGGGAUGGACUCGCGGCUUAUCAGCUUGUUGGGGGGGUAGUGGCUUACCAAGGCUUUGAAGGGUAGCCGGCCUGGGAGGGUGACCGGCCACAUUGGGACUGAGAGACGGCCCAGUCUCCUACGUGAGGCAGCAGGGGGGAAUAUUGCGCAAUGGGCGGAAGCCUGAUGCAGCAGCGCCGCGUGCGGGAUGACGGCCUUCGGGUUGUAAACCGCUUUCGCCUGUGACGAAGCGUGAGUGACGGUAAUGGGUAAAGAAGCACCGGCUAACUACGUG